This 97-nucleotide signal recognition particle RNA is filed under the name Synechococcales cyanobacterium. RNAcentral's name for it is "signal recognition particle sRNA small type". It matches the Rfam family "Bacterial small signal recognition particle RNA". From Rfam's summary of the family: The signal recognition particle (SRP) is a universally conserved ribonucleoprotein involved in the co-translational targeting of proteins to membranes. Archaeal SRP consists of a 7S RNA and homologues of the eukaryotic SRP19 and SRP54 proteins. In most bacteria, the SRP consists of a 4.5S RNA and the Ffh protein (a homologue of the eukaryotic SRP54 protein). The record is from RNAcentral. Lineage: Bacteria; Bacillati; Cyanobacteriota; Cyanophyceae; Synechococcales. RNAcentral also lists the same sequence under 1 other name.
GAUCCGGACUCAUGCGAUCACAACGCCUAAACCUUGUCAGAACCGGAAGGUAGCAGCAACACGGGAUGCUUGCGGUAGGCGUGAAUUCCGGGUCAUU